RNAcentral lists this ribosomal RNA (235 nucleotides) under uncultured Actinomycetales bacterium. RNAcentral describes it as "partial 16S ribosomal RNA". It matches the Rfam family "Bacterial small subunit ribosomal RNA", at positions 96 to 334 of the family's 1533-position model. Lineage: Bacteria; Bacillati; Actinomycetota; Actinomycetes; Actinomycetales. The record is from RNAcentral.
UGGCGAACGGGUGAGUAACACGUGGGUGAUCUGCCCUGCACUUCGGGAUAAGCCUGGGAAACUGGGUCUAAUACCGGAUAGGAGCCAUUUUUAGUGUGAUGGUUGGAAAGUUUUUUCGGUGUAGGAUGAGCUCGCGGCCUAUCAGCUUGUUGGUGGGGUAAUGGCCUACCAAGGCGGCGACGGGUAGCCGGCCUGAGAGGGUGGACGGCCACAUUGGGACUGAGAUAUGGCCCAG